RNAcentral lists this ribosomal RNA (497 nucleotides) under uncultured bacterium. RNAcentral describes it as "partial 16S ribosomal RNA". It matches the Rfam family "Bacterial small subunit ribosomal RNA", at positions 28 to 507 of the family's 1533-position model. The record is from RNAcentral.
GAUGAACGCUGGCGGCGUGCCUAAUACAUGCAAGUCGAGCGGACAGAUAAGGAGCUUGCUCCUUUGAAGUUAGCGGCGGACGGGUGAGUAACACGUGGGUAACCUACCUAUAAGACUGGGAUAACUUCGGGAAACCGGAGCUAAUACCGGAUAACAUUUAGAACCGCAUGGUUCUAAAGUGAAAGAUGGUUUUGCUAUCACUUAUAGAUGGACCCGCGCCGUAUUAGCUAGUUGGUAAGGUAACGGCUUACCAAGGCGACGAUACGUAGCCGACCUGAGAGGGUGAUCGGCCACACUGGAACUGAGACACGGUCCAGACUCCUACGGGAGGCAGCAGUAGGGAAUCUUCCGCAAUGGGCGAAAGCCUGACGGAGCAACGCCGCGUGAGUGAUGAAGGGUUUCGGCUCGUAAAACUCUGUUAUUAGGGAAGAACAAAUGUGUAAGUAACUGUGCACAUCUUGACGGUACCUAAUCAGAAAGCCACGGCUAACUACGUG